UUCCUCACUCUAUUUCGUCUCUCCCUCUUUUUCUCUUCCUAUGUGUAAGGUUCACUAUGUAGCCCUUGAUUUCAAUUAACAAGAAGAAGCCCCUGCUGGGUUCCACUGUUGAAUGUCUAUAUAACCCUUGAUUUUCAGCAACAACGGAACUGCAAGCCUCUAUGGGAUUCCAUCGUUGAAGUGAAGGCGUUCUCUCCAACUAGAUAUCAGAUUUGUGGAUCUGCCAUUGUGUUCUGCCAACCCGGAUUCACAUAGCGCAUGACACUCAAACUGCUAAUACGGCUGUGGCUGGUUGAGUAUUGAAGGGGAGUUUGCAAUGGUUUUGAGUGAAAAAUGGCAGCAAACUUGGUAGUGAGUGUAGGAAGGAACUUCAUGACUCCUCGAUGAUGAACUUCUAGAAUGGCAGCAAACUUGGUGGUUUCCUCAAUGACGUACCGUGUCUUUGCAGAUCAACUUCAUGACUCAAUGAUGAACUUCUAGAAUGGGUUGUGAUUUUUGGCAAUAGUUUCCCUAUAACAGUUGUAUUGUAUUGACAAUAAUUAUGAUUGGAUCAAAAUGAGUUUUAUUCUUCUUUUUGUUGUUUUGGUAUUGUAAAUGGCCACGUGGGUUUUGAGAAUCUUGUUUGUGUUUGUUAAUGUAUUUUGGGUUAUGCUAUAUUCAGUGUUCUUUACCAA
Molecule: long non-coding RNA, 674 nt
Organism: Camellia sinensis
Lineage: Eukaryota; Viridiplantae; Streptophyta; Magnoliopsida; Ericales; Theaceae
Source: RefSeq, a predicted model, not a curated record